AACGAACGCUGGCGGCAUGCCUAACACAUGCAAGUCGAACGAGACCUUCGGGUCUAGUGGCGCACGGGUGCGUAACGCGUGGGAAUCUGCCCUUGGGUUCGGAAUAACAGUUGGAAACGACUGCUAAUACCGGAUGAUGACGUAAGUCCAAAGAUUUAUCGCCCAAGGAUGAGCCCGCGUAGGAUUAGCUAGUUGGUGAGGUAAAGGCUCACCAAGGCGACGAUCCUUAGCUGGUCUGAGAGGAUGAUCAGCCACACUGGGACUGAGACACGGCCCAGACUCCUACGGGAGGCAGAAGUGGGGAAUAUUGGACAAUGGGCGAAAGCCUGAUCCAGCAAUGCCGCGUGAGUGAUGAAGGCCUUAGGGUUGUAAAGCUCUUUUACCCGGGAUGAUAAUGACAGUACCGGGAGAAUAAGCUCCGGCUAACUCCGUG
Molecule: ribosomal RNA, 433 nt
Filed under: uncultured bacterium
Lineage: Bacteria
Description: partial 16S ribosomal RNA
Rfam family: Bacterial small subunit ribosomal RNA
Source: RNAcentral